ACUCCUACGGGAGGCAGCAGUGGGGAAUAUUGCACAAUGGGGGAAACCCUGAUGCAGCCAUGCCGCGUGUGUGAAGAAGGCCUUGGGUUGUAAAGCACUUUCAGUAGGGAGGAAGGUAGUGUAGUUAACACCUGCACUAUUUGACGUUACCUACAGAAGAAGCACCGGCUAACUCCGUGCCAGCAGCCGCGGUAAGUACGGAGGGUGCGAGCGUUAAUCGGAAUUACUGGGCGUAAAGCGCAUGCAGGCGGCCUGUUAAGUCAGAUGUGAAAGCCCGGGGCUUAACCUCGGAAUUGCAUUUGAAACUGGCAGGCUAGAGUCUUGUAGAGGGGUUAGAAUUUCAGGUGUAGCGGUGAAAUGCGUAGAGAUCUGAAGGAAUACCAGUGGCGAAGGCGGCCCCUGGACAAAGACUGACGCUCAGAUGCGAAAGGCGUGGGAGCAAACAGGAUUAGAUACCCCUGGUAGACUGUCA
Molecule: ribosomal RNA, 472 nt
Filed under: uncultured bacterium
Lineage: Bacteria
Description: bacterial SSU rRNA
Rfam family: Bacterial small subunit ribosomal RNA
Source: RNAcentral